RNAcentral lists this small RNA (112 nucleotides) under Marmota monax (woodchuck). The record is from RNAcentral. Lineage: Eukaryota; Metazoa; Chordata; Mammalia; Rodentia; Sciuridae.
GCUGGAUGCAGUGGCCUGCACCUGUAGCCCUAGCUACCUGAGAGGCUGAGGCAGGUGCAUCGCUUGAGCCCAGGAGUUCAAGACCAGCCUGGGCAACAGAGUGAGAUCCAUU